Long non-coding RNA from Aethina tumida (small hive beetle), 457 nucleotides. RefSeq lists it as uncharacterized. Lineage: Eukaryota; Metazoa; Arthropoda; Insecta; Coleoptera; Nitidulidae. The record is from RefSeq and is a predicted model, not a curated record. The transcript is spliced from 3 exons.
CGAAUUGCUUUGGAAAUUAGCGGGAAUAUUUCUUUUUAUGAUAGUACAAGUUGUUACUUUAACAUUAGUUGUUUAUGGGCAAUAUUUUAUAACGGAAAUUGAAAAUUUGAAUACGUGUCUGUAUUUUUGUCCGUGGCACCUGUGGAAUGUUGAAAACAGAAAGACACUGUUGUUGUUGCUGGUUAUGACAGCUAAUCCAAAAGCGUUUCACCUUUCAACGAUUGUCACUGUUGAUUAUCGUCUAAUAAGUCAGAUAUUCAAACAUGUUUAUACGAUGGGAUCAUUCUACAUCAAUCAAAGAAGUUAAAAACCAGUUAAGUGUCACAUCACACAUAUCGAAUAAAUUAUAAGUUUCUGAUGCACUGUAGUAAAAAAAUGUAACAAUAAUAUUAAAUCAAUCUGUUCAAUAAUAUUCGUUUAUAAAAUCAAAAUUGUAAAUCUAAGUAGAAAUAAAGCA